Molecule: ribosomal RNA, 492 nt
Filed under: uncultured bacterium
Lineage: Bacteria
Description: partial 16S ribosomal RNA
Rfam family: Bacterial small subunit ribosomal RNA
Source: RNAcentral
AGUGAACGCUGGCGGUAGGCCUAACACAUGCAAGUCGAACGGCAGCACAGUAAGAGCUUGCUCUUACGGGUGGCGAGUGGCGGACGGGUGAGGAAUACAUCGGAAUCUACUUUUUCGUGGGGGAUAACGUAGGGAAACUUACGCUAAUACCGCAUACGACCUACGGGUGAAAGCAGGGGAUCUUCGGACCUUGCGCGAUUGAAUGAGCCGAUGUCGGCUUAGCUAGUUGGCGGGGUAAAGGCCCACCAAGGCGACGAUCCGUAGCUGGUCUGAGAGGAUGGUCAGCCACAUUGGAACUGAGACACGGUCCAGACUCCUACGGGAGGCAGCAGUGGGGAAUAUUGGACAAUGGGGGCAAGCCUGAUCCAGCCAUACCGCGUGGGUGAAGAAGGCCUUCGGGUUGUAAAGCCCUUUUGUUGGUAAAGAAAAGCAGCAGGUUAAUACCCCGCUGUUCUGACGGUACCCAAAGAAUAAGCACCGGCUAACUUCGUG